GUGAGGAAUCUUCGGCAAUGGGGGCAACCCUGACCGAGCGACGCCGCGUGCGGGAAGACGGCCUUCGGGUUGUAAACCGCUUUUCUGUGGGACGAGAAACGGACGGUACCACAGGAAGAAGUCUCGGCUAACUACGUGCCAGCAGCCGCGGUAAUACGUAGGAGGCGAGCGUUGUCCGGAGUUACUGGGCGUAAAGGGUGCGCAGGCGGCGGUUCGCGUGGCUAGAUGAAAUCUCCUGGCUUACCUGGGAGAGUGGUAGCCAGACGGGAUCGCUUGAGGGUCGGAGAGGGGCGUGGAAUUCCGGGUGGAGCGGUGAAAUGCGUAGAGAUCCGGAGGAACACCGACGGCGUAGGCAGCGCCCUGGACGACACCUGACGCUGAGGCACGAAAGCUGGGGGAGCGAACAGGAUUAGAAACCCGGGUAGUCC
This 428-nucleotide ribosomal RNA is filed under the name uncultured bacterium. Its description in RNAcentral is "bacterial SSU rRNA". It matches the Rfam family "Bacterial small subunit ribosomal RNA", at positions 354 to 796 of the family's 1533-position model. The record is from RNAcentral.